This 72-nucleotide microRNA precursor is filed under the name Chlorocebus sabaeus (green monkey). Its description in RNAcentral is "mir-3689 microRNA precursor family". It matches the Rfam family "mir-3689 microRNA precursor family". Lineage: Eukaryota; Metazoa; Chordata; Mammalia; Primates; Cercopithecidae. The record is from Rfam by way of RNAcentral.
GGGGGGUGUGACCCCGUGCUCCCUGGGGGGUGUGAUGCCAUGCUCCCUGGGGGGUGUGAUCCCGCACUAGCU